Molecule: unclassified non-coding RNA, 243 nt
Filed under: uncultured fungus
Lineage: Eukaryota; Fungi
Description: partial contains 5.8S ribosomal RNA, internal transcribed spacer 2, and large subunit ribosomal RNA
Source: RNAcentral
AACGCACAUUGCGCCCUCUGGUAUUCCGGGGGGCACACCUGUUCGAGCGUCAUUUCAACCCUCAAGCUCUGCUUGGUAUUGGGCGCCGUCCUUACGGGCGCGCCUCAAACCCCUCGGCGUCGCCGUCCGUCCCCAAGCGCAGCGAGAUUUAUUUCAGCGUGAGGAUCGGGCCGUGUCCGCCGCAGAACACCUUUGUCUUCUAAGGUUGACCUCGGAUCAGGUGGGGAUACCCGCUGAACUUAA